This 253-nucleotide ribosomal RNA is filed under the name uncultured bacterium. RNAcentral describes it as "partial 16S ribosomal RNA". It matches the Rfam family "Bacterial small subunit ribosomal RNA", at positions 524 to 776 of the family's 1533-position model. The record is from RNAcentral.
UACAGGGGGUGCAAACGUUGCUCGGAGUCAUUGGGCGUAAAGCGCACGUAGGCGGUUCGUUAUGUCGGAUGUGAAAGCCCUUGGCUUAACCGAGGAAGUGCAUCCGAAACUGGCGAGCUAGAGUACGAAAGAGGAUCGCGGAAUUCCCGGUGUAGAGGUGAAAUUCGUAGAUAUCGGGAGGAACACCGGUGGCGAAGGCGGCGAUCUGGGUCGAUACUGACGCUGAGGUGCGAAAGCGUGGGGAGCAAACAGG